Molecule: ribosomal RNA, 997 nt
Filed under: uncultured Corynebacterium sp.
Lineage: Bacteria; Bacillati; Actinomycetota; Actinomycetes; Mycobacteriales; Corynebacteriaceae
Description: bacterial SSU rRNA
Rfam family: Bacterial small subunit ribosomal RNA
Source: RNAcentral
GUGCCAGCAGCCGCGGUAAUACGUAGGGUGCGAGCGUUGUCCGGAAUUACUGGGCGUAAAGAGCUCGUAGGUGGUUUGUCGCGUCGUUUGUGUAAGCCCGCAGCUUAACUGCGGGACUGCAGGCGAUACGGGCAUAACUUGAGUGCUGUAGGGGAGACUGGAAUUCCUGGUGUAGCGGUGAAAUGCGCAGAUAUCAGGAGGAACACCGAUGGCGAAGGCAGGUCUCUGGGCAGUAACUGACGCUGAGGAGCGAAAGCAUGGGUAGCGAACAGGAUUAGAUACCCUGGUAGUCCAUGCCGUAAACGGUGGGCGCUAGGUGUGGGGGUUUUAUUUACGAUUCCCGUGCCGUAGCUAACGCAUUAAGCGCCCCGCCUGGGGAGUACGGCCGCAAGGCUAAAACUCAAAGGAAUUGACGGGGGCCCGCACAAGCGGCGGAGCAUGUGGAUUAAUUCGAUGCAACGCGAAGAACCUUACCUGGGCUUGACAUACACCGGAUCGGGCUAGAGAUAGUCUUUCCCUUUGUGGCUGGUGUACAGGUGGUGCAUGGUUGUCGUCAGCUCGUGUCGUGAGAUGUUGGGUUAAGUCCCGCAACGAGCGCAACCCUUGUCUUAUGUUGCCAGCACGUUAUGGUGGGGACUCGCGAGAGACUGCCGGGGUUAACUCGGAGGAAGGUGGGGAUGACGUCAAAUCAUCAUGCCCCUUAUGUCCAGGGCUUCACACAUGCUACAAUGGUCGGUACAGUGGGUUGCGAUGCCGUGAGGUGGAGCUAAUCCCUUAAAGCCGGUCUCAGUUCGGAUUGGAGUCUGCAACUCGACUCCAUGAAGUCGGAGUCGCUAGUAAUCGCAGAUCAGCAACGCUGCGGUGAAUACGUUCCCGGGCCUUGUACACACCGCCCGUCACGUCAUGAAAGUUGGUAACACCCGAAGCCAGUGGCCCAAACUUGUUAGGGAGCUGUCGAAGGUGGGAUUGGCGAUUGGGACGAAGUCGUAACAAGGUA